Molecule: ribosomal RNA, 427 nt
Filed under: uncultured Acidobacterium sp.
Lineage: Bacteria; Pseudomonadati; Acidobacteriota; Terriglobia; Terriglobales; Acidobacteriaceae
Description: bacterial SSU rRNA
Rfam family: Bacterial small subunit ribosomal RNA
Source: RNAcentral
AACGCGAAGAACCUUACCUGGGCUCGAAAUGUACAGGAAUCCGGUGGAAACAUCGGCGCCCCGCAAGGGGCCUGUAUAUAGGUGCUGCAUGGCUGUCGUCAGCUCGUGUCGUGAGAUGUUGGGUUAAGUCCCGCAACGAGCGCAACCCUUACCUCCAGUUGCUACCAUUUAGUUGAGCACUCUGGCGGAACCGCCUCGGAUAACGGGGAGGAAGGUGGGGAUGACGUCAAGUCCUCAUGGCCUUUAUGUCCAGGGCUACACACGUGCUACAAUGGCCGGUACAAACCGUCGCAAACCCGCGAGGGGGAGCUAAUCGGAAAAAGCCGGCCUCAGUUCGGAUUACAGUCUGCAACUCGACUGUAUGAAGCUGGAAUCGCUAGUAAUCGCGGAUCAGAAUGCCGCGGUGAAUACGUUCCCGGGCCUUGUA